AGCGAACGUUAGCGGCGCGCCUAACACAUGCAAGUCGCACGAGAAACGGAGCAAUCCGCGGUACAGUGGCGCACGGGUGAGUAACACGUGGAUGACCUUCCCUGGAGUGGUGGAUAACCUGCCGAAAGGCGGGCUAAUACAGCAUGGGACCACGACGCUUUGGCGAUGUGGUGAAAGCGGGCCUCUAUAUAUAAGCUCGCGCUCCGGGACGGGUCCGCGUCCCAUCAGCUAGUUGGUGAGGUAACGGCUCACCAAGGCUUCGACGGGUAGCUGGUCUGAGAGGAUGGCCAGCCACACUGGAACUGAGACACGGUCCAGACUCCUACGGGAGGCAGCAGUGGGGAAUCUUGCGCAAUGGGCGAAAGCCUGACGCAGCGACGCCGCGUGGGCGAAGAAGGCCU
RNAcentral lists this ribosomal RNA (401 nucleotides) under uncultured bacterium. Its description in RNAcentral is "bacterial SSU rRNA". It matches the Rfam family "Bacterial small subunit ribosomal RNA", at positions 29 to 417 of the family's 1533-position model. The record is from RNAcentral.